UGGGGAAUAUUGGACAAUGGGCGCAAGCCUGAUCCAGCCAUGCCGCGUGAGUGAUGAAGGCCCUAGGGUUGUAAAGCUCUUUCACCGGUGAAGAUAAUGACGGUAACCGGAGAAGAAGCCCCGGCUAACUUCGUGCCAGCAGCCGCGGUAAUACGAAGGGGGCUAGCGUUGUUCGGAUUUACUGGGCGUAAAGCGCACGUAGGCGGACUUUUAAGUCAGGGGUGAAAUCCCGGGGCUGAACCCCGGAACUGCCUUUGAUACUGGAAGUCUUGAGUAUGGUAGAGGUGAGUGGAAUUCCGAGUGUAGAGGUGAAAUUCGUAGAUAUUCGGAGGAAAACCAGUGGCGAAGGCGGCUCACUGGACCAUUACUGACGCUGAGGUGCGAAAGCGUGGGGAGCAAACAGG
RNAcentral lists this ribosomal RNA (404 nucleotides) under Actinomycetes bacterium. RNAcentral's name for it is "Actinobacteria bacterium partial 16S ribosomal RNA". It matches the Rfam family "Bacterial small subunit ribosomal RNA", at positions 355 to 776 of the family's 1533-position model. Lineage: Bacteria; Bacillati; Actinomycetota; Actinomycetes. The record is from RNAcentral.